RNAcentral lists this ribosomal RNA (589 nucleotides) under uncultured Polyporales. RNAcentral describes it as "eukaryotic LSU rRNA". The stretch from base 201 to 354 matches the Rfam family "5.8S ribosomal RNA". Lineage: Eukaryota; Fungi; Basidiomycota; Agaricomycetes; Polyporales. The record is from RNAcentral.
UGACCUGCGGAGGAUCAUUAACGAGUUGAACGGGGUUGUAGYUGGCCUUCACRGGCAUGUGCACACCYCACUCAUCCACUCUACACCUGUGCACUUACUGUGGGUUUCGAGAGGCCGCGCUUGCGUGGUUGAUCGGGCUCACGUCUAUUACAAACUCUUCAGUAUCAGAAUGUGUAUCGCGAUGUAACGCAUCUAUAUACAACUUUCAGCAACGGAUCUCUUGGCUCUCGCAUCGAUGAAGAACGCAGCGAAAUGCGAUAAGUAAUGUGAAUUGCAGAAUUCAGUGAAUCAUCGAAUCUUUGAACGCACCUUGCGCUCCUUGGUAUUCCGAGGAGCAUGCCUGUUUGAGUGUCGUGUAAUUCUCAACCUAUAAAUCCUUGCGGUUUUUAGGCUUGGACUUGGAGGCUUUUGCUGGCUUUACCGUCGGCUCCUCUUAAAUGCAUUAGCUUGAUUCCUUGCGGAUCGGCUCUCAGUGUGAUAAUUAUCUGCGCUGUGACCGUGAAGCGUUUGGCAAGCUUCUAACCGUCUCUUUGAGACAAACACUUUGACAUCUGACCUCAAAUCAGGUAGGACUACCCGCUGAACUUAA